This is a long non-coding RNA of Pseudopipra pipra, 860 nucleotides long. RefSeq lists it as uncharacterized. NCBI's taxonomy places the organism in Eukaryota, Metazoa, Chordata, Aves, Passeriformes, Pipridae. The transcript has 2 exons. The record is from RefSeq and is a predicted model, not a curated record.
UUUGCUGGGUUAAGAAGUGUCUGGAUGGGGAUGGUGGUGACUGGUGCCACAUCCAGUUGGUGUCUGGUCUCUAGUCGUGUCCCCCAGGGAUCAGUGUUAGGGCCAGCCCUGUUCAGUAUCUUUAUAGAUAAUCUGGGCAAGGGGAUCAAGUGCACCCUCAGUGAGGUCACAGAGCACACUAAGUUGGGCAGGAGUGCUGAUGUGCUGGAGGGGAGGAAGGUGGAUCUGGACAGGCUGGAUCAAUGGGAUGCUCCUCUCACUGGGCUGAGCAGUCACAGCCCUGCCUUCCUGCUCCAAGGCCCUGCCCUUGUAGCUCCACACCCCAGGAGCACGUUUGAGCUGUGCUUCCCUGGGCUCCUGCUCUGCCAGGAACAACAACGACCACGCAGCCAAGCUGAAGAAUGGUUGGGAGUUGUAGCUUGGCGGGCUCAGUCACACAACACUUUGAGCUUCUUCAGGAGGGCUGGAACGGGCUCUCUGCUGAGGCACAAACAGGACUGAAAACUUGCUGGGCUAAAACUACCACGUGCGUUCAGCCUCCUGCCUUCCCUGACCUGUUUGUGGAUAACACUUUCUGAAGUUGUUUAUUUUUACGGGAGGCCCCAAAUUUAGCGUGUGUGUAUCAAACAAGCUCAGGAGUCAAAACACCAAAAGCUUCUUCCCAAAGCUGCAGCCACUUGAAAGGCUGCAGUCACUGAGCAGCUGAGUGAGGCUUUACCUUCGGCACAGGCUGGAGCUGGACACAAUUACAAGAGGCCACCUGCCCUGACCUGGUUGAGACAUGUACUUGAGCCCUGAGGCAGCCCUGGAAAGCUCAGAGACAGACUGCUACACCUCCUGCUGCUUUUUGGAUACCACCA